This 74-nucleotide transfer RNA is filed under the name Candidatus Methanomethylophilaceae archaeon. Its description in RNAcentral is "tRNA-Leu". It matches the Rfam family "tRNA". Rfam says of the family: Transfer RNA (tRNA) molecules are approximately 80 nucleotides in length. Their secondary structure includes four short double-helical elements and three loops (D, anti-codon, and T loops). Lineage: Archaea; Methanobacteriati; Thermoplasmatota; Thermoplasmata; Methanomassiliicoccales; Methanomethylophilaceae. The record is from RNAcentral.
GGCCCCAUAGCACAGUUGGUCAGUGCAUCUGGCUCAGAACCAGUCGGCCGCAGGUUCAAGUCCUGCUGGGGCCA